RNAcentral lists this long non-coding RNA (865 nucleotides) under Homo sapiens (human). RNAcentral describes it as "HSALNT0176297". The record is from RNAcentral. Lineage: Eukaryota; Metazoa; Chordata; Mammalia; Primates; Hominidae.
UAUGCAAUUUACGACUCUGGAGACCGACAAGGGCUCCUGGAUGCCUACCAUGAUGGGGCCUGCUGUUCCCUGAGCAUUCCUUUCAUUCCUCAGAACCCUGCCCGAAGCAGCUUAGCCGAGUAUUUCAAGGAUAGCAGAAAUGUGAAGAAGCUUAAAGACCCUACCUUGCGGUUCCGGCUGCUGAAGCACACGCGUCUCAACGUUGUUGCCUUCCUCAAUGAGUUGCCCAAAACCCAGCACGACGUCAAUUCCUUCGUGGUAGACAUAAGCGCCCAGACAAGCACAUUGCUGUGUUUUUCUGUCAAUGGAGUCUUCAAGGAAGUGGACGGAAAGUCCCGGGAUUCUUUGCGAGCCUUCACCCGGACAUUCAUUGCUGUUCCUGCUAGCAAUUCAGGGCUAUGUAUUGUAAAUGAUGAGCUAUUUGUGCGGAAUGCCAGUUCUGAAGAGAUCCAAAGAGCCUUCGCUAUGCCUGCACCCACGCCUUCCUCCAGCCCGGUGCCCACCCUCUCUCCAGAGCAGCAGGAAAUGUUGCAAGCAUUCUCUACCCAGUCUGGCAUGAACCUCGAGUGGUCCCAGAAGUGCCUUCAGGACAACAACUGGGACUACACCAGAUCUGCCCAGGCCUUCACUCAUCUCAAGGUAAGGUCUGGAAAUACAGUGGCAAAAAGACUAGGAUCUCUGGGCCUCCAGGAGGUCAGGUUAGCUGAGUGGGGUUGCUGAGUGGCGAGGGUAGGCCUACCUCUACUGACCUUCAUUUUUCUCCAGGCCAAGGGCGAGAUCCCAGAAGUGGCAUUCAUGAAGUGAUCGUAGUCAUGCCUCAGAAGCAGUCCCCCCUGUAAAUAGUCCUUGGAUAUUACCGUCUGGU